Non-coding RNA from Myotis davidii, 75 nucleotides. The record is from Rfam. NCBI's taxonomy places the organism in Eukaryota, Metazoa, Chordata, Mammalia, Chiroptera, Vespertilionidae.
GGCGGUUCUUGGGUGACGCACCCUAGAAUCAGGCUCCCUCCUUUCUGGUUCCUGGUGUGUCACCCAAGAACCACU